UGAGGAAUAUUGGUCAAUGGGCGAGAGCCUGAACCAGCCAAGUCGCGUGAAGGAUGAAGGUUCUAUGGAUUGUAAACUUCUUUUAGAGGGGAAUAAAGUGCAGGACGUGUCCUGUUUUGUAUGUACCCUCUGAAUAAGCAUCGGCUAACUCCGUGCCAGCAGCCGCGGUAAUACGGAGGAUGCGAGCGUUAUCCGGAUUUAUUGGGUUUAAAGGGUGCGUAGGUGGAUGUUUAAGUCAGCGGUGAAAGUUUGUGGCUCAACCAUAAAAUUGCCGUUGAAACUGGGCGUCUUGAGUAUGUUUGAGGUAGGCGGAAUGCGUGGUGUAGCGGUGAAAUGCAUAGAUAUCACGCAGAACUCCAAUUGCGAAGGCAGCUUACUAAACCAUAACUGACACUGAAGCACGAAAGCGUGGGUAUCAAACAGG
This 424-nucleotide ribosomal RNA is filed under the name uncultured bacterium. RNAcentral's name for it is "bacterial SSU rRNA". It matches the Rfam family "Bacterial small subunit ribosomal RNA", at positions 355 to 776 of the family's 1533-position model. The record is from RNAcentral.